CCCUUAGAUGUCCUGGGCCGCACGCGCGCUACACUGAUGCAUUCAACGAGUUUUACCUUGGCCGAGAGGCCUGGGCAAUCUUUUAAACCUGCAUCGUGAUAGGGAUAGAUUAUUGCAAUUUUUAACCUUGAACGAGGAAUUCCUAGUAAACGCAAAUCAUCAAUUUGCAUUGAUUACGUCCCUGCCCUUUGUACACACCGCCCGUCGCACCUACCGAUUGAAUGGUCCGGUGAAGCCUCGGGAUUGUGGCCAGUUCACUUUAUUGGGAGUUGGCUGUGAGAACUUGUCUAAACCUUAUCAUUUAGAGGAAGGUGAAGUCGUAACA
RNAcentral lists this ribosomal RNA (325 nucleotides) under uncultured eukaryote. Its description in RNAcentral is "partial 18S ribosomal RNA". It matches the Rfam family "Eukaryotic small subunit ribosomal RNA", at positions 1470 to 1796 of the family's 1831-position model. The record is from RNAcentral.